GGUCCAAUAGUGUAGAGGUUAUCACACGGGAUUCUGAUAAGCGUUGGUCCUAACUAUGUGCUUCCCGUGACCCAGGUUCGAGUCCUGGUUGGACCU
Molecule: non-coding RNA, 96 nt
Organism: Rhodocollybia butyracea
Lineage: Eukaryota; Fungi; Basidiomycota; Agaricomycetes; Agaricales; Omphalotaceae
Source: the annotation of a GenBank genome assembly